Molecule: ribosomal RNA, 497 nt
Filed under: uncultured bacterium
Lineage: Bacteria
Description: partial 16S ribosomal RNA
Rfam family: Bacterial small subunit ribosomal RNA
Source: RNAcentral
GAUGAACGCUGGCGGCGUGCCUAAUACAUGCAAGUCGAGCGAACAGAUGAGGAGCUUGCUCCUCUUACGUUAGCGGCGGACGGGUGAGUAACACGUGGAUAACCUACCUAUAAGACUUGGAUAACUUCGGGAAACCGGAGCUAAUACCGGAUAAUAUAUUGAACCGCAUGGUUCAAUAGUGAAAGACGGUUUUGCUGUCACUUAUAGAUGGAUCCGCGCCGCAUUAGCUAGUUGGUAAGGUAACGGCUUACCAAGGCAACGAUGCGUAGCCGACCUGAGAGGGUGAUCGGCCACACUGGAACUGAGACACGGUCCAGACUCCUACGGGAGGCAGCAGUAGGGAAUCUUCCGCAAUGGGCGAAAGCCUGACGGAGCAACGCCGCGUGAGUGAUGAAGGUAUUCGGAUCGUAAAACUCUGUUAUUAGGGAAGAACAAAUGUGUAAGUAACUAUGCACGUCUUGACGGUACCUAAUCAGAAAGCCACGGCUAACUACGUG